This is a long non-coding RNA of Trichomycterus rosablanca, 561 nucleotides long. RefSeq lists it as uncharacterized. The transcript is spliced from 2 exons. NCBI's taxonomy places the organism in Eukaryota, Metazoa, Chordata, Actinopteri, Siluriformes, Trichomycteridae. The record is from RefSeq and is a predicted model, not a curated record.
UAUAUUUAUCUCUGCACACUCUCUAACUUCAUUUUAUCUCUCUGGCAGAUCAUAAUAUUUAAAAAAAAAAGGCUGCACACUGUCUGCUUCCUCAGAAGUAACCCUUGGUCCAAGCUUUAUUCCAGUCCCUAAAGUCCCUCCAGUACACAACAGUAGGGUUUUCAGCCGUAGUCUAAGGAGACACAUGGAGCCAGUGGAGACUGCAAAAAGCUUUGACUCUGAACAAUUAAUGACAAAAGGGAAGAAGGUGGCAAAAUGAAAACCUUGAUGAUGGGGAAAAAGCUACUUGAAAAGUCCACCUGACAGAAAAUAAACAGGGCCUUUUGUAGGCCUUAAUGUUGGAAUCUAACAUGUUCACAUCUGAAAGCUCUAUAUAGGGUUAUGUAUUAUUUACUGCCCUCUUCAGGUCAAUAGAUAUAAAAAAGGGUAAUAUUUAAGACCUGAAGGGUACACGGACUGACACAAUAAUGAAAUUUGAAAUGUUACAACUUACUAGCUGUUUACUGUUUCAUAAUGAACCAUAAUUGCAUAACAUUAAAGUGGAAGCUGGUAAAAAUUAUA